Long non-coding RNA from Ochotona princeps (American pika), 523 nucleotides. RefSeq lists it as uncharacterized. The transcript has 3 exons. Lineage: Eukaryota; Metazoa; Chordata; Mammalia; Lagomorpha; Ochotonidae. The record is from RefSeq and is a predicted model, not a curated record.
GACACAAUGAGGAAGCUGGGCUGGUGGGGAGAGUGCUGCCUGCCUCCUUCGCAAGGUCUUACCCUCUCCUGCUCGGAAAGCACAGCACAGACUUGGCACCAGCCAAUCCCACUAUCAGAUGCCAACCUGCUUUCAUUACUUCCUGGUCUUCAACUCUGCAUCCUCUAACCUGCUCAGAACCCAAGCAAAAUGCUGAUGGUUAAGCAGAGUCUUGAACUGAGAAAAUGGCUGCGGUUGGUACAAGUGAGGCCUUCCCUGUAACCAGAUCCUUCAGGAAAAAACAAAUUAAUCAACAGCGAGCUGAAGUGGGUUUAAUGAUUGCAUUCUGCAUACAAUCAGCUUUUCGCUUUUCAAGGGCCAUCAAUAUGUCAAGGGAAGACAUAUCUGAAGGAUAUAGCUCUUAACAUCAAGGUUAUCUAUUCUCCACAAGGCUCCCACUCCUUGCCCGGCUGAUACUCCACGCUGCCUGUGUCUAACAUUUUCAUCAACUCUGCAAUCAAUCAAGGUAAUAAUGUUGUGCAAA